GAUGAACGCUGGCGGCGUGCCUAAUACAUGCAAGUCGAGCGAACGGACGAGAAGCUUGCUUCUCUGAUGUUAGCGGCGGACGGGUGAGUAACACGUGGAUAACCUACCUAUAAGACUGGGAUAACUUCGGGAAACCGGAGCUAAUACCGGAUAAUAUUUUGAACCGCAUGGUUCAAAAGUGAAAGACGGUCUUGCUGUCACUUAUAGAUGGAUCCGCGCUGCAUUAGCUAGUUGGUAAGGUAACGGCUUACCAAGGCAACGAUGCAUAGCCGACCCGAGAGGGUGAUCGGCCACACUGGAACUGAGACACGGUCCAGACUCCUACGGGAGGCAGCAGUAGGGAAUCUUCCGCAAUGGGCGAAAGCCUGACGGAGCAACGCCGCGUGAGUGAUGAAGGUCUUCGGAUCGUAAAACUCUGUUAUUAGGGAAGAACAUAUGUGUAAGUAACUGUGCACAUCUUGACGGUACCUAACCAGAAAGCCACGGCUAACUACGUG
RNAcentral lists this ribosomal RNA (497 nucleotides) under uncultured bacterium. RNAcentral describes it as "partial 16S ribosomal RNA". It matches the Rfam family "Bacterial small subunit ribosomal RNA", at positions 28 to 507 of the family's 1533-position model. The record is from RNAcentral.